ACCCUACGGGGCGCAGCAGUGAGGAAUAUUGGUCAAUGGUCGGGAGACUGAACCAGCCAAGCCGCGUGAGGGAGGAAGGUACAGAGUAUCGUAAACCUCUUUUGUCAGGGAACAAAGACUGGGACGCGUCCCCGGAUGAGUGUACCUGAAGAAAAAGCAUCGGCUAACUCCGUGCCAGCAGCCGCGGUAAUACGGAGGAUGCGAGCGUUAUCCGGAUUUAUUGGGUUUAAAGGGUGCGCAGGCGGCGAGUUAAGUCAGCGGUAAAAUUUCGGGGCUCAACCCCGACGAGCCGUUGAAACUGGCUU
RNAcentral lists this ribosomal RNA (305 nucleotides) under uncultured bacterium. RNAcentral's name for it is "bacterial SSU rRNA". It matches the Rfam family "Bacterial small subunit ribosomal RNA", at positions 335 to 639 of the family's 1533-position model. The record is from RNAcentral.